AGUGAACGCUGGCGGUAGGCCUAACACAUGCAAGUCGAACGGCAGCACGGGAGAGCUUGCUCUCUGGGUGGCGAGUGGCGGACGGGUGAGGAAUACAUCGGAAUCUACUCUGUCGUGGGGGAUAACGUAGGGGAACUUACGCUAAUACCGCAUACGACCUACGGGUGAAAGCAGGGGACCUUCGGGCCUUGCGCGAUUGAAUGAGCCGAUGUCGGAUUAGCUAGUUGGCGGGGUAAAGGCCCACCAAGGCGACGAUCCGUAGCUGGUCUGAGAGGAUGAUCAGCCACACUGGAACUGAGACACGGUCCAGACUCCUACGGGAGGCAGCAGUGGGGAAUAUCGGACAAUGGGCGCAAGCCUGAUCCAGCCAUACCGCGUGGGUGAAGAAGGCCUUCGGGUUGUAAAGCCCUUUUGUUGGGAAAGAAAUCCAGCUGGCUAAUACCCGGUUGGGAUGACGGUACCCAAAGAAUAAGCACCGGCUAACUUCGUGCCAGCCGCCGCCGUAA
This 506-nucleotide ribosomal RNA is filed under the name uncultured bacterium. RNAcentral describes it as "partial 16S ribosomal RNA". It matches the Rfam family "Bacterial small subunit ribosomal RNA", at positions 29 to 523 of the family's 1533-position model. The record is from RNAcentral.